Molecule: ribosomal RNA, 484 nt
Filed under: uncultured bacterium
Lineage: Bacteria
Description: partial 16S ribosomal RNA
Rfam family: Bacterial small subunit ribosomal RNA
Source: RNAcentral
AUUGAACGCUGGCGGAAUGCUUUACACAUGCAAGUCGAACGAUGAACCUUAGCUUGCUAAGGGGUUUAGUGGCGAACGGGUGAGUAAUAUAUCGGAACGUGCCUUGUAAUGGGGGAUAACUAGUCGAAAGAUUAGCUAAUACCGCAUACGCCCUGAGGGGGAAAGUAGGGGAUCUUCGGACCUUACGUUAUAAGAGCGGCCGAUAUCGGAUUAGCUAGUUGGUGGGGUAAUGGCCUACCAAGGCGACGAUCAGUAGCUGGUCUGAGAGGACGACCAGCCACACUGGAACUGAGACACGGUCCAGACUCCUACGGGAGGCAGCAGUGGGGAAUUUUGGACAAUGGGCGCAAGCCUGAUCCAGCCAUACCGCGUGAGUGAAGAAGGCCUUCGGGUUGUAAAGCUCUUUCGCAAGGGAAGAAAACUUACCAUCGAAUACAUGGUGAGGCUGACGGUACCUUGAUAAGAAGCACCGGCUAACUACGUG